CUUUUUGCCAUUUCUUGGGCCGCUCUCACAGCAUAUGGAGACAAAAAUAAAUAAAUAAACGGAUGAAUAUGAAAGAUGAAAAUAACAAUACCUACAUUGUAGAGCAGUUGUGAGGAUUAAAUGAGAAAACAUACAGAAAGUAGUUAGCUUGGUCCUCAAUAUACAGUGCACAAUAAAGGGUAGCCAUUGUGGAUGGAAUCAGCUCCUAAGUAUAAGCCCCUUUGCUUUCCAAUGGACAGGACCCAGGUGCUCCAGCCUCUCCUAGUUUGGGUGAGACGAAUCUUUCUCCAAGGCUGGAGUGAAGGUAGAGGGCAGCCACAGAGGAAUUCCUGGCCUACUUUGUGCAAUUUUGGGCUCAGGCAAGGCCCCAGACAGUAAGUGAUACAAAGAGCACUCCAAGCCAGCUGCAGAUAAUGAGGCCCGGGGGACAGGCUGCCUGGGGUGGCUUUCUCCAGCAAGGACUGCUCGACCUAAAGGCCCAGGGCUUUCACUCAGCCUCUGGCAGUGCUCAUGGCUCAGGCCUCUGAAAGUUCCCAGGCAUGUUUCCUGUUCCAAAAGAAAAAGACAGAAAGGAAGGAAGGCAGGAAGGAAGAAAAGAAAAAAGGGAAGGCAACCUCUGACCUCCCAGGCUGGAGGGAAGCUCCUCUCCAAUACCCAACUGGAAAGUCAAAGAGAGUUAAGACAAUGCUUACUCACAUAACUCAAAGGCCCAUGUGUCCAAGCCAGUCCUCUAGCUCCUGCUAUCAUGAUUCUUAGGGUCCUCACAGGUCUCCCUGCAUCCAUACACUCCCCUCUAGCCCAUCUUCCACACAGCCCCGAGGGUGAGCAGCACACGCAUUGAGUCUCUCCUCCCCAGCCUACAGUCCAUUCAGUGGAGGGUCCCUAUUGCCUUCCAGAUAAAGUCCAAAUUCCUUGGUAUGGUGUUCAAGGCCCUCUUCAGAACCUUUCCAUCCUCUCACCCUGGCCCAUGUACUCUGCCUGCCAUUUCUGGAAUACACCAGUUUGCUCACACUUACAGGCAUCUGUGUAUGUUCUUCCCUCUGCCUGGAGUACCCCAAUCACUCAGCAAUGAAAUGGCGAAGCCAGGACUCCAGGCCUCUCCUUUUGAUUCUGAGUUCCACACUCCUUGGAUAGGAAGGGCUUGAGAACUCCAGAACAGCCCAGUUCCAUGGUGCUAAAAUGUCAGGGAAGACCGUUUCCAGUUCUCACACUCCAGAUGCUCUGGAUUUGCCCUCAUUAUAAAUCACCAUGUGACAUUGUGAGUACCUCAUUGGUCGGUAGUUACCCAAAUAAAGUCAGCACAGGCUACGAUCUGCAUCUCCAAGGGUCUGAAUGGCUCAGCUGUAAGCAGGAAGACAAGCUGACAUUUUCAAUUAACCUUGUUCUUACCCUGAGUCACUGUGCACUGCCUGACACACCCUCAUGGGACUGCAGAGGCAGGGGUCCAGGAGUGAGGGCAGACCAUGGCACCCCAAGUGCAAGGAAGCCCCUCUCCAACACCCAUUUGGUAAGACAUUGAGAAUUAAGACAAAGCUGCUCCACCCAACACAAAAAUUCUAGUCCCGGCUAGCCCUCUGGUCCCUACCACUCUGCUCACAGGAACCUCUCUGCAGCCUCAGCUCCCUCUGACAUAUUCUGGGGCACUUGGGCUAGGGACCUCUCUGUUUGCCAGGAGCAGGGCCUCUGAUGGCCUCCUGGUCAUGUGGCCAAAAUCCUCACUCCCUUCCAUCAAUAACAGCUCCACACAUCCAAACAGGUUUUGAAUUGCAAUACAUGUCAGGCACACAAGAGUAAAUACGUACACAGCUUAUCUCUUUUCCCAGCCCAACAAACUCUACUUUUGCAUGCUAAAUCUCCUAUUCAAGGCACUACCUGUAAAUUCAAUAAGAUGUCUCUGAUAAGAGCAGAAUAUUCAAUACAAAUACAAAACCUUUUUUGCUGAU
RNAcentral lists this long non-coding RNA (1943 nucleotides) under Sus scrofa (pig). RNAcentral describes it as "lncRNA (ENSSSCG00040047213.1)". Lineage: Eukaryota; Metazoa; Chordata; Mammalia; Artiodactyla; Suidae. The record is from RNAcentral.